Molecule: ribosomal RNA, 467 nt
Filed under: uncultured bacterium
Lineage: Bacteria
Description: partial 16S ribosomal RNA
Rfam family: Bacterial small subunit ribosomal RNA
Source: RNAcentral
GACGAACGCUGGCGGCGUGCUUAACACAUGCAAGUCGAACGGAAAGGCCUCUUUCGGGGGGUACUCGAGUGGCGAACGGGUGAGUAACACGUGAGUAACCUGCCCUUGACUUUGGGAUAACUUCAGGAAACUGGGGCUAAUACCGGAUAGGAGCUCCUGCUGCAUGGUGGGGGUUGGAGAGUUUCGGCGGUUGGGGAUGGAUUCGCGGCUUAUCAGCUUGUUGGUGGGGUAUUGGCUUACCAAGGCUUUGACGGGUAGCCGGCCUGAGAGGGUGACCGGCAACAGUGGGACUGAGAUACGGACAAGACUCAUACGGGAGGCAGCAGUGGGGAAGAGUGCACAAUGGGUGGAAGCGAGAUGCAGCAACACCGUGUGCGGGAUGACGGUCUUCGGGUUGUAAACCGAUUUCGCUCAUGACGGAGCUUUGUGUGACGGUAGUGGGUAAAGAAGCACCGGCUAACUACGUG